ACAACGAAGAGUUUGAUCCUGGCUCAGGAUGAACGCUAGCGACAGGCUUAACACAUGCAAGUCGAGGGGCAGCGGGGGUAGCGAUACCCGCCGGCGACCGGCGCACGGGUGAGUAACGCGUAUGCAACUUGCCUAUCAGAGGGGGAUAACCCGGCGAAAGUCGGACUAAUACCGCAUGAAGCAGGGGCCCCGCAUGGGGAUAUUUGCUAAAGAUUCAUCGCUGAUAGAUAGGCAUGCGUUCCAUUAGGCAGUUGGCGGGGUAACGGCCCACCAAACCGACGAUGGAUAGGGGUUCUGAGAGGAAGGUCCCCCACAUUGGUACUGAGACACGGACCAAACUCCUACGGGAGGCAGCAGUGAGGAAUAUUGGUCAAUGGGCGUAAGCCUGAACCAGCCAAGUCGCGUGAGGGAUGAAGGUUCUAUGGAUCGUAAACCUCUUUUAUAAGGGAAUAAAGUGCGGGACGUGUCCCGUUUUGUAUGUACCUUAUGAAUAAGGAUCGGCUAACUCCGUGCCAGCAGCCGCGGUAAUACGGAGGAUCCGAGCGUUAUCCGGAUUUAUUGGGUUUAAAGGGUGCGUAGGCGGCCUUUUAAGUCAGCGGUGAAAGUCUGUGGCUCAACCAUAGAAUUGCCGUUGAAACUGGGGGGCUUGAGUAUGUUUGAGGCAGGCGGAAUGCGUGGUGUAGCGGUGAAAUGCAUAGAUAUCACGCAGAACCCCGAUUGCGAAGGCAGCCUGCCAAGCCAUUACUGACGCUGAUGCACGAAAGCGUGGGGAUCAAACAGGAUUAGAUACCCUGGUAGUCCACGCAGUAAACGAUGAUCACUAGCUGUUUGCGAUACACUGUAAGCGGCACAGCGAAAGCGUUAAGUGAUCCACCUGGGGAGUACGCCGGCAACGGUGAAACUCAAAGGAAUUGACGGGGGCCCGCACAAGCGGAGGAACAUGUGGUUUAAUUCGAUGAUACGCGAGGAACCUUACCCGGGUUUGAACGCAUUCGGACCGAGGUGGAAACACCUUUUCUAGCAAUAGCCGUUUGCGAGGUGCUGCAUGGUUGUCGUCAGCUCGUGCCGUGAGGUGUCGGCUUAAGUGCCAUAACGAGCGCAACCCUUGCCACUAGUUACUAACAGGUAAAGCUGAGGACUCUGGUGGGACUGCCAGCGUAAGCUGCGAGGAAGGCGGGGAUGACGUCAAAUCAGCACGGCCCUUACAUCCGGGGCGACACACGUGUUACAAUGGCGUGGACAAAGGGAGGCCACCUGGCGACAGGGAGCGAAUCCCCAAACCACGUCUCAGUUCGGAUCGGAGUCUGCAACCCGACUCCGUGAAGCUGGAUUCGCUAGUAAUCGCACAUCAGCCAUGGCGCGGUGAAUACGUUCCCGGGCCUUGUACACACCGCCCGUCAAGCCAUGGGAGCCGGGGGUACCUGAAGUCCGUAACCGAAAGGAUCGGCCUAGGGUAAAACUGGUGACUGGGGCUAAGUCGUAACAAGGUAGCCGUACCGGAAGGUGCGGCUGGAACACCUCCUUU
Molecule: ribosomal RNA, 1525 nt
Filed under: Parabacteroides distasonis
Lineage: Bacteria; Pseudomonadati; Bacteroidota; Bacteroidia; Bacteroidales; Tannerellaceae
Description: 16S ribosomal RNA
Rfam family: Bacterial small subunit ribosomal RNA
Source: RNAcentral